This 1051-nucleotide ribosomal RNA is filed under the name Kocuria turfanensis. Its description in RNAcentral is "bacterial SSU rRNA". It matches the Rfam family "Bacterial small subunit ribosomal RNA", at positions 56 to 1115 of the family's 1533-position model. The record is from RNAcentral. Lineage: Bacteria; Bacillati; Actinomycetota; Actinomycetes; Micrococcales; Micrococcaceae.
UGCAGUCGAACGAUGAUCUCCCGCUUGCGGGGGUGAUUAGUGGCGAACGGGUGAGUAAUACGUGAGUAACCUGCCCUUGACUCUGGGAUAAGCCUGGGAAACCGGGUCUAAUACUGGAUACUACUCCUCAUCGCAUGGUGGGGGGUGGAAAGGGUUUUACUGGUUUUGGAUGGGCUCACGGCCUAUCAGCUUGUUGGUGGGGUAAUGGCUCACCAAGGCGACGACGGGUAGCCGGCCUGAGAGGGUGACCGGCCACACUGGGACUGAGACACGGCCCAGACUCCUACGGGAGGCAGCAGUGGGGAAUAUUGCACAAUGGGCGGAAGCCUGAUGCAGCGACGCCGCGUGAGGGAUGACGGCCUUCGGGUUGUAAACCUCUUUCAGCAGGGAAGAAGCCACAAGUGACGGUACCUGCAGAAGAAGCGCCGGCUAACUACGUGCCAGCAGCCGCGGUAAUACGUAGGGCGCAAGCGUUGUCCGGAAUUAUUGGGCGUAAAGAGCUCGUAGGCGGUUUGUCGCGUCUGCUGUGAAAGCCCGGGGCUCAACCCCGGGUCUGCAGUGGGUACGGGCAGACUAGAGUGCAGUAGGGGAGACUGGAAUUCCUGGUGUAGCGGUGAAAUGCGCAGAUAUCAGGAGGAACACCGAUGGCGAAGGCAGGUCUCUGGGCUGUUACUGACGCUGAGGAGCGAAAGCAUGGGGAGCGAACAGGAUUAGAUACCCUGGUAGUCCAUGCCGUAAACGUUGGGCACUAGGUGUGGGGGACAUUCCACGUUCUCCGCGCCGUAGCUAACGCAUUAAGUGCCCCGCCUGGGGAGUACGGCCGCAAGGCUAAAACUCAAAGGAAUUGACGGGGGCCCGCACAAGCGGCGGAGCAUGCGGAUUAAUUCGAUGCAACGCGAAGAACCUUACCAAGGCUUGACAUUCACCGGACCGCACUGGAGACAGUGCUUCCCUUCGGGGUCGGUGGACAGGUGGUGCAUGGUUGUCGUCAGCUCGUGUCCUUGAGAUGUUGGGUUAAGUCCCGCAACGAACCGCACCCCUCGUUCUUUGU